AUCUCAAAAAAGAAUUUUUAAUAAAAAAAAUAAUUUUAGUAAUAUAAGUUAAAGUAUUUUUAUAAAAAAUAAAAUUUUUUUUAAGUACCGUGAGGGGAUACUAAAUUAAUUUUAAAGUAGUAUUAAAUUUAUGUACCUUGUGUAUCAGGGUUUAUCAAAUUUAUUUUUUAAAAAAUUCAUCUCGAACCUUAAAGAUCUAAUUUAUUUAUAUUCUAGUAUUUAUUUCAUAAAGUAAUAAAAAAUUAAAUUAGUUGAAAAAGUCAUUUCAUUUUAAGAGAUAUCUAGUUUAUUAAGAAAUAAAUUCAAUUUAAUCUAAAAUUGUAAAUAUAAAAUCUUAUAAAAAUUUAUAAAAUUUAGAACUAUUUAAUUAGGGAUAAGCCUAAUUAAAGAAUUAUAGAACUCCAUUACUAUAGAAAAAUUUAAGGAAUAAAAAUAACCCCCAUUAGUUCCCUUAAAAAUUAAGGAAAGAAAUAGGUUAUUCAACGAAAUAAAAAUUUGAACUAAGAAUAUUUAAUUAAUUAAAUAUACUAUAAAUAAAAACGUAACAGAAAAAAUUUUCAGUGAACAAUAUUUUUCAGCUCUUAAAAUUUAUUAAUAUAUUUUAAAAAACUUCUAAAUAAAAAAAACAAUGAUAAAAUCAGUAAAUUUUUAAAGAUUACUUUAAAGAACUCGGCAAAUAACUCUUCCGACUGUUUACCAAAAACAACGCCUAGUGAUAAUUUUGAAUACUAGGUAUAGCCUGCUCAAUGAAUUUAGUUUUGAAUAGCCGCAAGUAGUUGCGCUAAGGUAGCAUAAUAACUUGCUUUUUAAUUGAGAGAUAGAAUGAAAGGUUGAACGAGAAGAAAACUUUCUCAAGGUAAAAAAAUUGAAGUUAACUUUUUAGUCAAAAGGCUUAAAUGAACUUGAAGGACGAGAAGACCCUAUAGAGCUUUAUUAAAUACCUCUUUGGAACCUUUUUAAAAGACCACUCUCAAAUGGAAAUACUAAUUUAACUGGGACAGUGAAACUAAACAACUAAUUAGCUUUCUAGACCACACUUAUAGGUGAUAUAAAUAAUAUGAUCCAAACUUUGAUUAGAAGAAUAAGCUACCUUAGGGAUAACAGCGUUAUUUUUCUAAAGAGUCCAAAUCGAUAGAAGACAUUGCGACCUCGAUGUUGGAUUAAGAUAAAUAAAAGGAGUAGAAACUUUAAUUAAAAAUUUGGUCUGUUCGACCAUUAAAAUCUUACAUGAUCUGAGUUCAGACCGGCGUAAGCCAGGUUGGUUUCUAUCCUCAAGAUAAAUUUCGUUACAGUACGAAAGGACCUGAUGAAAAAUUUAAAAUUUU
Molecule: ribosomal RNA, 1325 nt
Filed under: Aeolothrips indicus
Lineage: Eukaryota; Metazoa; Arthropoda; Insecta; Thysanoptera; Aeolothripidae
Description: large subunit ribosomal RNA
Rfam family: Archaeal large subunit ribosomal RNA (bases 902-1276)
Source: RNAcentral